Molecule: ribosomal RNA, 328 nt
Filed under: uncultured bacterium
Lineage: Bacteria
Description: bacterial SSU rRNA
Rfam family: Bacterial small subunit ribosomal RNA
Source: RNAcentral
CAUGGCUCAGGAUGAACGCUGACAGAAUGCUUAACACAUGCAAGUCAACUUGAAUUUGGGUUUUUAACUUAGAUUUGGGUGGCGGACGGGUGAGUAACGCGUAAAGAACUUGCCUCACAGCUAGGGACAACAUUUAGAAAUGAAUGCUAAUACCUGAUAUUAUGAUUUUAAGGCAUCUUAGAAUUAUGAAAGCUAUAAGCACUGUGAGAGAGCUUUGCGUCCCAUUAGCUAGUUGGAGAGGUAACAGCUCACCAAGGCGAUGAUGGGUAGCCGGCCUGAGAGGGUGAACGGCCACAAGGGGACUGAGACACGGCCCUUACUCCUACGG